UACAGAGGGUGCAAGCGUUAAUCGGAAUUACUGGGCGUAAAGCGCACGUAGGUGGGUUAGAAAGUUGGAUGUGAAAGCCCCGGGCUUAACCUGGGAACUGCAUUCAAGACUACUAGCCUAGAGUACAGGAGAGGGAAGUGGAAUUUCCGGUGUAGUGGUGGAAUACGUAGAUAUCGGAAGGAACACCAAUGGCGAAGGCAACUUCCUGGACUGAUACUGACACUGAGGUGCGAAAGCGUGGGGAGCAAACAGG
RNAcentral lists this ribosomal RNA (253 nucleotides) under uncultured bacterium. Its description in RNAcentral is "partial 16S ribosomal RNA". It matches the Rfam family "Bacterial small subunit ribosomal RNA", at positions 524 to 776 of the family's 1533-position model. The record is from RNAcentral.